CCGGGUAUCAUGUGAGGGCACCCUGCAGAGGAGAAAACGGGGGGAGACCUCAAAAGCAAUAGCAGGAAAAGCAAAAGGGCUUUGUCUGAGUGCGGGAGCACAAGCAGCAGCACAGAAAACAUCUUCUAGUGAACAUCUAGCAUCCGGAAUGUGCCAUGACAGUCAAAAACUGGUUUGCACACAGGACAGUGAGGGAGUUGAAAGAGUCAUGUCUGACAGGGAGGAACAUCGCUCACAACACAUCAGCUUUCCGGAAGUUAAAAACUCAGUUUAUGCUUGAUUUCAGGUACUGGUCUAGCUUCUUGAGUUUCUAUAUGAUUCACUGGCUGCCUACCUUAAAACACAUCAGUCACUUUUCUGUGUUUUAUCUAUAUGGUAUAAUGCAGCAUAGAGGUAAUACAUCUCUCUGAAGAGCGGGGGAAAACUCUG
This is a long non-coding RNA of Tyto alba (common barn owl), 429 nucleotides long. RefSeq lists it as uncharacterized. The transcript has 3 exons. The record is from RefSeq and is a predicted model, not a curated record. Lineage: Eukaryota; Metazoa; Chordata; Aves; Strigiformes; Tytonidae.